Molecule: ribosomal RNA, 253 nt
Filed under: uncultured bacterium
Lineage: Bacteria
Description: partial 16S ribosomal RNA
Rfam family: Bacterial small subunit ribosomal RNA
Source: RNAcentral
UACGGAGGGUGCAAGCGUUAAUCGGAAUUACUGGGCGUAAAGCGCACGCAGGUGGCUGAGUCAGUCGAUUGUGAAAGCCCUGGGCUUAACCUGGGAAUUGCAGUCGAUACUACUCGGCUUGAGUAUGGGAGAGGGCAGUGGAAUUCCCGGUGUAGCGGUGAAAUGCGUAGAUAUCGGGAGGAACAUCAGUGGCGAAGGCGGCUGCCUGGCCCAAUACUGACACUCAGGUGCGACAGCGUGGGGAGCAAACAGG